CAGUCAGAGGCUUCUUCAGAUCUGCUUGGUUCACAUCUGAUGGAGAUUAUUGUCAUCAUGUUUCAGACAGGUGAGGCUGUCAGAACCUGGAGAAGAACUGACACCAAUAAAAAACAUGUUGAGGUCCAGAAAGGUGGAGCAGGAAUCUGGGCAGGGAGAGAGUGGAAACACACCAGCAGAGUGGAAGAGCACGUUUUCAUGGCCACCAUGCAGCCCGACAUGCAAAGAUCUCACAACCUUUGCUCCCACGUCUCAGAUAAAUCACUACUUUCAGGUCAUCGACUAGACCUGAGGAGAUUUAUUUUACUCCAAACUACAUGUGGAAGGGGUCUCCAGGUCCGUGGCAGUUCUUCAUCACGUAGAGCAAGGUGUGUUCAUCGAUUAAAGCUCUGCUGCUGAGGAGGACAGUCAGUCUGUUUAUCAGAGCCAGGAACAGCAGCUGUGCUCCUGUUGCAGCACUGCAGAGAGGAGGAGGUGUUACAGUGUGACAAACGCAGAAUCGACGAGUCGACCGGCAGCCAGAUCCUGGCAGGACGUCAAGCAUGAGUCAUGGUGAACGGUUGUCAUGGUAACAAGCUGAAUAGUCAGACCCAUCCAGUCCUGCAUUUCAGAUCGCAACACCUCACAGUAAAACGUUUCCAGUUAAACCAAAGAACGUCUCUUCUGGACAUUGGACGGGCCUGCAGCUGUACCCUCCUCUUCCUCAGCCAUGACUUUGGAGCUAUGGGAAAAAUGUUGAAAAAUGAACAGACAGCAAAUGUUGCUCUAAUAUCUCUGCUGGACCUUUCUACCUUUAUGCUGCCACCACAGAGGUGAGCAAAGCCAAGGGCACUGAAAGCUUUAUAACAUUAAACAUUUCUGGAAUA
Long non-coding RNA from Girardinichthys multiradiatus, 866 nucleotides. RefSeq lists it as uncharacterized. NCBI's taxonomy places the organism in Eukaryota, Metazoa, Chordata, Actinopteri, Cyprinodontiformes, Goodeidae. The record is from RefSeq and is a predicted model, not a curated record. The transcript has 4 exons.